This 444-nucleotide ribosomal RNA is filed under the name uncultured bacterium. Its description in RNAcentral is "SSU rRNA". It matches the Rfam family "Bacterial small subunit ribosomal RNA", at positions 26 to 518 of the family's 1533-position model. The record is from RNAcentral.
AGAACGAACGCUGGCGGCAGGCUUAACACAUGCAAGUCGAACGCCCCGCAAGGGGAGUGGCAGACGGGUGAGUAACGCGUGGGAAUCUACCCAGUUCUACGGAAUAACACAGGGAAACUUGUGCUAAUACCGUAUACGCCCUACGGGGGAAAGAUUUAUCGGGAUUGGAUGAGCCCGCGUUGGAUUAGCUAGUUGGUGGGGUAAUGGCCUACCAAGGCGACGAUCCAUAGCUGGUCUGAGAGGAUGAUCAGCCACACUGGGACUGAGACACGGCCCAGACUCCUACGGGAGGCAGCAGUGGGGAAUAUUGGACAAUGGGCGAAAGCCUGAUCCAGCCAUGCCGCGUGAGUGAUGAAGGCCUUAGGGUUGUAAAGCUCUUUCAGUGGGGAAGAUAAUGACGGUACCCACAGAAGAAGCCCCGGCUAACUUCGUGCCAGCAGCCGC